AAAGAUUAAGCCAUGCAUGUCUAAGCACAUGCCUUAAUACGGUGAAGCCGCGAAUAGCUCAUUACAACAGCCACCGUUUACUAGAAUAUAGUUAUCCUACUUGGAUAACUGUGGCAAUUCUAGAGCUAAUACAUGCAAAAAAGCUCUGACCGCAAGGAACGAGCGCAUUUAUUAGAAUAAAAACCAAUCGGGUUUCGGCCCGUAAUUUGGUGAAUCUGAAUAACUUUGCCAAUCGCACAGUCCUAGUACUGGCGAUGUAUCUUUCAAGUGUCUGCCUUAUCAACUUUCGAUGGUAGGUUAUACGCCUACCAUGGUAGUAACGGGUAACGGAGAAUAAGGGUUCGACUCCGGAGAGGGAGCCUGAGAAACGGCUACCACAUCCAAGGAAGGCAGCAGGCGCGCAAAUUACCCACUUCCAGAACGGAGAGGUAGUGACGAAAAAUAACGAGACAGUCCUCUUCGAGGUCUGUCAUCGGAAUGGGUACAAUUUAAAUCCUUUAACGAGGAUCUAUUGGAGGGCAAGUCUGGUGCCAGCAGCCGCGGUAAUUCCAGCUCCAAUAGCGUAUAUUAAAGUUGUUGCGGUUAGAACGCUCGUAGUUGGAUCUGCGGCCUCGGAGAACGGUCCCCCGAAAGGGUGGUCACUGUCUCUCCUAGCCUAAAUUCGAGUCGUCUCUAGGUGCUCUUUACCGAGUGCCUAGAGUGACUAGAACGUUUACUUUGAAAAAAUUAGAGUGCUUAAAGCAGGCGAAAUAGCCUGAAUAAGGUGCAUGGAAUAAUGGAAUAGGACCUCGGUUCUAUUUUGUUGGUUUUCGGAACCCGAGGUAAUGAUUAAGAGGAACAGACGGGGGCAUUCGUAUUCCGGCGCUAGAGGUGAAAUUCUUGGACCGCCGGAAGACGGACAACUGCGAAAGCAUUUGCCAAGAAUG
RNAcentral lists this ribosomal RNA (926 nucleotides) under Ecumenicus monohystera. Its description in RNAcentral is "SSU rRNA". It matches the Rfam family "Eukaryotic small subunit ribosomal RNA", at positions 39 to 966 of the family's 1831-position model. The record is from RNAcentral. Lineage: Eukaryota; Metazoa; Nematoda; Enoplea; Dorylaimida; Qudsianematidae.